RNAcentral lists this ribosomal RNA (1160 nucleotides) under human gut metagenome. RNAcentral's name for it is "bacterial SSU rRNA". It matches the Rfam family "Bacterial small subunit ribosomal RNA", at positions 53 to 1205 of the family's 1533-position model. The record is from RNAcentral.
ACAUGCAAGUCGAGGGGCAGCAUGGACCCAGCUUUGCUGGGUUUGAUGGCGACCGGCGCACGGGUGAGUAACGCGUAUCCAACCUGCCCUUUACUCCGGGAUAGUCUCCUGAAAGGGAGUUUAAUACCGGAUGUGUUUGUCUUUCCGCAUGGGAGCGACAAAUAAAGAUUAAUUGGUAAAGGAUGGGGAUGCGUCCCAUUAGCUUGUUGGCGGGGUAACGGCCCACCAAGGCGACGAUGGGUAGGGGUUCUGAGAGGAAGGUCCCCCACAUUGGAACUGAGACACGGUCCAAACUCCUACGGGAGGCAGCAGUGAGGAAUAUUGGUCAAUGGGCGGGAGCCUGAACCAGCCAAGUAGCGUGAAGGACGACGGCCCUACGGGUUGUAAACUUCUUUUAUAAGGGAAUAAAGUUCGCCACGUGUGGUGUUUUGUAUGUACCUUAUGAAUAAGCAUCGGCUAAUUCCGUGCCAGCAGCCGCGGUAAUACGGAAGAUGCGAGCGUUAUCCGGAUUUAUUGGGUUUAAAGGGAGCGUAGGCGGGCUUUUAAGUCAGCGGUCAAAUGUCGUGGCUCAACCAUGUCAAGCCGUUGAAACUGUAAGCCUUGAGUCUGCACAGGGCACAUGGAAUUCGUGGUGUAGCGGUGAAAUGCUUAGAUAUCACGAAGAACUCCGAUUGCGAAGGCAUUGUGCCGGGGCAUAACUGACGCUGAGGCUCGAAAGUGCGGGUAUCAAACAGGAUUAGAUACCCUGGUAGUCCGCACGGUAAACGAUGAAUGCUCGCUAUGGGCGAUAUAUUGUCCGUGGCCAAGCGAAAGCGUUAAGCAUUCCACCUGGGGAGUACGCCGGCAACGGUGAAACUCAAAGGAAUUGACGGGGGCCCGCACAAGCGGAGGAACAUGGGGUUUAAUUCGAUGAUACGCGAGGAACCUUACCCGGGCUUGAAUUGCAGGUGCAUGAGUCAGAGAUGAUUCUUUCCUUCGGGACUCCUGUGAAGGUGCUGCAUGGUUGUCGUCAGCUCGUGCCGUGAGGUGUCGGCUUAAGUGCCAUAACGAGCGCAACCCUUCUCCCCAGUUGCCAUCGGGUAAUGCCGGGCCCUCUGGGGACACUGCCAUCGUAAGAUGCGAGGAAGGUGGGGAUGACGUCAAAUCAGCACGGCCCUUAC